Molecule: ribosomal RNA, 501 nt
Filed under: uncultured bacterium
Lineage: Bacteria
Description: partial 16S ribosomal RNA
Rfam family: Bacterial small subunit ribosomal RNA
Source: RNAcentral
AUUGAACGCUGGCGGCAUGCCUUACACAUGCAAGUCGAACGGCAGCACGGGUGCUUGCACCUGGUGGCGAGUGGCGAACGGGUGAGUAAUACACCGGAACGUACCUUAUCGUGGGGGAUAACGCAGCGAAAGCUGUGCUAAUACCGCAUACGCCCUGAGGGGGAAAGCGGGGGAGCGAAAGACCUCGCGCGAUUAGAGCGGCCGAUGCCUGAUUAGCUUGUGGGUGGGGUAAAAGCCCACCAAGGCGACGAUCAGUAGCUGGUCUGAGAGGACGAUCAGCCACACUGGGACUGAGACACGGCCCAGACUCCUACGGGAGGCAGCAGUGGGGAAUUUUGGACAAUGGGGGCAACCCUGAUCCAGCAAUGCCGCGUGAGUGAAGAAGGCCUUCGGGUUGUAAAGCUCUUUUGUCAGGGAAGAAACACCGGCUCUAACACAGUCCGGGAAUGACGGUACCUGAAGAAUAAGCACCGGCUAACUACGUGCCAGCCGCCGCCGUAA